RNAcentral lists this long non-coding RNA (1298 nucleotides) under Linum usitatissimum (flax). RNAcentral's name for it is "long non-coding RNA (LUSI_LNC007425)". Lineage: Eukaryota; Viridiplantae; Streptophyta; Magnoliopsida; Malpighiales; Linaceae. The record is from RNAcentral.
GAAAAAAAACAUUUGGACGGACCAACCGGACCAACCGGUUUUCCAUCCGGUCAGACCAUCCAGACGGAAAUCUAGUCCGUCCGAUUUUUUUGUAAUUUUAUUUCAAAUUUAAUUAAAUCUCUUAAUUUCGUUUAGGUCGGUUCGUUAAUUUGAAUACUUGAAGUAUCGGUUGAAUGCAAGGAUAUCGCUAUGAGUACUACAAUAAGUGUUCGACCAGUGUUUGAGAAUGAUUGAGUUUAUUGAAGAUUGAAGUUCUUAAAAGUUUUCGAAAUUUAUUAAAGGAUAAUUUAGUCGCGUCGUCUAAAUCGAAAUAUAGGGUCUUGUUUAGGGAUUCAGUUUGUAAAUAGUGUAUUUCCCAAUUCGUCGAAAUUGGAAUUAACAGAAAUCCCUAAUUUCGAUGUAAUUAGAUUUCAUGUUUUUCGAUCAAAUUUUGUACGGUUGGAAUUGGUUUUAAUUAAGAUGCAAAAUUACCAAACUAUCCUCACUUUAAUUCUAUCAAUAUCCUUAUCUUCUCCUCUCCUUCCUACUCUUUCUUAUCACCAGAAACCCUAAAAAAACCUUCUUCUUCCUUGUUCUUCCAAUUGAACCCAAUUCUUCUACCGUACCUAUCCACCGUCAACGCCAUCGAUCGAGUGUUUUCCUUAGCGCCCAUCCAUCUAUCGUGAGCAGACCCUUCCCUUCCCUUCAGUUCAGCCAUCGAUCGCGUUCUGUCCUUCAGUCGGGAUUUACAAAAGAAUGAAGAAAGCAUAACAAGUCAGCCACUGCAUCGAACUAGUGAAAGAGAACAGCACAAUAAAACAGUUGAUGUUUUUAAUCAGUCAACCAUAAAUCAAAACUCUAAAUCAGAUAAAUCGAAAACCAUGAGAUGCCUUAAUCGAAAAACCCUAAAAAUAAGAUGAACUAAUUCGAAAACCUAGAUCGGAACUGACAGUAAUCGUCAAGAACCCAGAAGAAGAAGAGGGAUAUGAGUUACCUAAAUAACGAUACAGAAGGAGAUGAUGGGCGAUGAAUGACGAUUUGGGUUUUCACCACGAGUUGGGUUUUGAGGGUUGUAGGACACUCUGCGAUUAUCUGGAGGUAAAGAGCUUGGGGACGAGCUGCGCGAAAGGAGAUCGAGGACGACGAGCUUGUCGGAGGAUGUUCGCCGCCGACUAGAUGGAAGAAACUCAAAACUCCAUUUUGGAGCAUUGGAUUGAAGGAAGAUCAUCUGUGAGCUGUCGUUUGAUUUCAGCAUAUGGUGGUCAAAGUCAAUUUCAUCAUCACGUAGCCUCGUUUAUUUAUUUUGAUUGGAUAAAACC